GUGAGGAAUAUUGGGCAAUGGGCGCAAGCCUGACCCAGCCAUGCCGCGUGAAGGUAGAAGGCCCUAUGGGUUGUAAACUUCUUUUAUACGGGAAGAAACUUCCGAACGUGUUCGGAAUUGACUGUACCGUAGGAAUAAGCAUCGGCUAACUCCGUGCCAGCAGCCGCGGUAAUACGGAGGAUGCAAGCGUUAUCCGGAUUUAUUGGGUUUAAAGGGUGCGUAGGCGGAAUGAUAAGUCAGUGGUGAAAGCCUGCGGCUUAACCGUAGAACUGCCAUUGAUACUGUUGUUCUUGAGUAUAGUUGAGGUGGGCGGAAUGUGUAAUGUAGCGGUGAAAUGCUUAGAUAUUACACAGAACACCGAUUGCGAAGGCAGCUCACUAAGCUGUUACUGACGCUGAGGCACGAAAGCGUGGGGAGCAAACAGGAUUAGAAACCCGUGUAGUCC
This 445-nucleotide ribosomal RNA is filed under the name uncultured bacterium. RNAcentral describes it as "partial 16S ribosomal RNA". It matches the Rfam family "Bacterial small subunit ribosomal RNA", at positions 354 to 796 of the family's 1533-position model. The record is from RNAcentral.